UUCAAGCUCGAUGAGCCUAGCCCAGCAGUGGAGGAGGUCAAUGAGGAGCAGCAGAAAGAGCCGGAGCGCGAGCCCGAGGAUGCGAAAGCCGAGGACUCGGAGUUCCCGGAGUUCGACAUCGUGGACAAGGGCGUCGAUGAGCCUAGCCCAGCAGUGGAGGAGGUGCAGCAGAAAGAGCCGGAGCGCAAGCCCGAGGAUGCGAAAGCCGAUGACUCGGAGUUCCCGGAGUUCGACAUCGUCGACAAGGGCGUCGAAGGGCAAGAAGAGAAGGAUAAUCCUCCGAAGGAAGAGGCCGAGGACAAGAAAGAAGCCAAUGAGGAGG
This 322-nucleotide long non-coding RNA is filed under the name Setaria italica (foxtail millet). RNAcentral describes it as "long non-coding RNA (SITA_LNC001529)". Lineage: Eukaryota; Viridiplantae; Streptophyta; Magnoliopsida; Poales; Poaceae. The record is from RNAcentral.